UCCCUGGUGGCUCAGAUGGUAAAGCAUCUGCCCGCAAUGCUGGAGACCUAGGUUUGAUCCCUAGGUUGGGAA
Molecule: transfer RNA, 72 nt
Filed under: Bos taurus (domestic cattle)
Lineage: Eukaryota; Metazoa; Chordata; Mammalia; Artiodactyla; Bovidae
Also listed under: 1 other name
Rfam family: tRNA
About the family: Transfer RNA (tRNA) molecules are approximately 80 nucleotides in length. Their secondary structure includes four short double-helical elements and three loops (D, anti-codon, and T loops).
Source: Rfam by way of RNAcentral